GGUGCGAAGGUAGCGUAAUCAAUUGUCUUUUAAUUAAAGACCCGUAUGAAAGGCACCACGAGAGUUUAUCUGUCUCUAUUUUCCAAUCAAUGAAAUUGAUCCUCUCGUGCAGAAGCGAGAAUAUAAACAUAAGACGAGAAGACCCUAUGAAGCUUUAAACACUUAAGUUAUUUUUAAAAAGAUAAACCUACCCCCGGGUAUAAAAUAGACUAAAUUUUUAACUUAUUUGUUUUUGGUUGGGGCGACCGAGGGGUAAAACAAAACCCCCUUACCGAACGAGUAAUCUACUACUUAAAAACUAGAGCCACCACUCUAGCGAAUAGAAGAUCUAACGAACAAUGACCCAAGAACUAAACUCUUGAUCAAUGGACCAAGCUACUCUAGGGAUAACAGCGCAAUCCUUUCCCAGAGCCCUAAUCACCGAAAGGGUUUACGACCU
Molecule: ribosomal RNA, 439 nt
Filed under: Urolophus piperatus
Lineage: Eukaryota; Metazoa; Chordata; Chondrichthyes; Myliobatiformes; Urolophidae
Description: partial 16S ribosomal RNA
Rfam family: Bacterial large subunit ribosomal RNA
Source: RNAcentral